Xiphophorus couchianus (Monterrey platyfish) is the source of this 1506-nucleotide long non-coding RNA. RefSeq lists it as uncharacterized. The record is from RefSeq and is a predicted model, not a curated record. NCBI's taxonomy places the organism in Eukaryota, Metazoa, Chordata, Actinopteri, Cyprinodontiformes, Poeciliidae. The transcript has 3 exons.
UAUCACUUUAAUUCUGUAACAAAAAAAAUCAUUAAAUAAGUAUGGUGUAGUCUUAGUUAUUACUGUAAAUGAGUAUAAAAGAAUAUGUUAAGUAAUCACAAAAUCUAAAGCAUUUGUGCAUAGCUAUGCUCAGUCUUCUUAAAUAUGUUUCCUUCUGGACAUAUUAUCUAAAAUUUAAAAAUAUAAAGAACCUGCUUACAAAAGCACAUUUUUUUUUACUGCUGUCUACAGUAAAAAAGGUUUGUCUACCUUUUUUACUGCUGGGAUUUAAAAAUGUUUAAUCUUAAGGCAGAACUAAAACAUUGCAAAAAGGAUUAAUUUUAUCUGACAAGCAUUUCCAUGUUUUGCUUUCCAAAACAGGAUUUAAGCUCUAUGGAAACUAUCGUGGCACCCCUGGUUUAUUUCCUCCUGGUACUUUCUUUUAAAAUGGCACACACGGACAACCAGAAUGUAACCUUCACAACUCCUCCAAACCUUGGCUUAAACCUGACAGAAUUCACUGUAGCAUCAACUUCAUUUAACUCUACUGUAACUCCAACUACUCUCUUAACCUCAACCAAGGACACAGCCGAAUAUACCAGCACAAAUCAUGGCAAUAAUACCUUCUCUACUACAGUGGCUGCAACUGAAAACACAAGUCAACAUCAAACCUCUCAGUCAGCUACAUUGACUUCGCCAACAGGCAAUGGAUCACUAAACACCACUACACCAACCGCACAAUCACCUGCGCUUACAAUAACCACACAAACCAUCCAGACUACAACACAUUUGAAUACUACAUCUGAUACAACACUAGGUUCAACUGUAAACUCAUCUCACAGCAUGACUACAUCUACAGUUUCAGCAAAUGCUACAGAAGGUUUGAGACUUAACAUAUCAGAGAGAAAUAUGACAAUAAUCUUCAGCGGCAUGCUUGGGCUCUUUGCUUUGACAAUAGUUAUGAUCAUGUUUCACAAAUGCAAACAUAAAUUCCAGUACUUGCAUCAACGUCUUGACACCACAGAUGGCACAGAUGGAUUUGUGCUUGAUGAUGACACCCUUGUUAUUUCUGGAGGACUUUAUGAUGCCCAUCCAAUCUACGACAAUGUGCCACCCACUCCUGCAGAACCGUCACAAUUUCGCCUUGAUUUCCUUCACUAAAGAGAGACCUCUAUGCUAAAUCACAGUGGUAACCCACUAAUAUGGACAUGGACAGAAUCCCAUUUCUCCUCCAUGAAUCAGUGUUAUUUCAGGACUAAAAAUAACCAGUGGAAUUAAAUUAUUUACCAACAGGAAAUAAUACUGGAAGUAAUAAUGAAUAACAAUGACUGAUGUAACUAUAAUGAAUUAAAUAAUUUUAUUAGUUUGUGGAAAUGACCAAACAAAUAUAUUCACAUAACAACACCUUUACCAAAUUAACAAUAAAGAUUUAUGUAGAACGAACUAAGGGAAUUGCUAACAGUUUUAAGCAUAACGUUUUUCCAAACAACAGUAUUAUGGAAAAAAAAAAAUUUUUCACAAGAACUU